Molecule: ribosomal RNA, 309 nt
Filed under: uncultured bacterium
Lineage: Bacteria
Description: partial 16S ribosomal RNA
Rfam family: Bacterial small subunit ribosomal RNA
Source: RNAcentral
AGAGACAGCAGUCGCCGCGGUAACACGGAGGGGGCUAGCGUUGUUCGGAAUUACUGGGCGUAAAGAGCACGUAGGCGGCUUGGUAAGUUAGAGGUGAAAGCCCGGAGCUCAACUCCGGAAUUGCCUUUAAGACUGCCGAGCUAGUAGGUGAGAGAGGUAAGUGGAACUCCGAGUGUAGAGGUGAAAUUCGUAGAUAUUCGGAAGAACACCAGUGGCGAAGGCGGCCAUCUGGGACAACACUGACGCUGAGGCACGAAAGCGUGGGGAGCAAACAGGAUUAGAUACCCCAGUAGUCCCUGUCUCUUAUAA